This 460-nucleotide ribosomal RNA is filed under the name uncultured bacterium. RNAcentral's name for it is "partial 16S ribosomal RNA". It matches the Rfam family "Bacterial small subunit ribosomal RNA", at positions 338 to 795 of the family's 1533-position model. The record is from RNAcentral.
CCUACGGGAGGCAGCAGUGAGGAAUAUUUGUCAAUGGACGAGAGUCUGAACCAGCCAAGUAGCGUGAAGGAUGACUGCCCUAUGGGUUGUAAACUUCUUUUAUAUGGGAAUAAAAUGUUCCACGUGUGGGAUUUUGUAUGUACCAUAUGAAUAAGGAUCGGCUAACUCCGUGCCAGCAGCCGCGGUAAUACGGAGGAGCCGAGCGUUAUCCGGAUUUAUUGGGUUUAAAGGGAGCGUAGGUGGAUUGUUAAGUCAGUUGUGAAAGUUUGCGGCUCAACCGUAAAAUUGCAGUUGAAACUGGCAGUCUUGAGUACAGUAGAGGUGGGCGGAAUUCGUGGUGUAGCGGUGAAAUGCUUAGAUAUCACGAAGAACUCCGAUUGCGAAGGCAGUUCACUGGACUGCAACUGACACUGAGGCUCGAAAGUGUGGGUAUCAAACAGGAUUAGAUACCCGUGUAGUC